UUGAACGCUGGCGGCAUGCUUUACCCCUGCAAGUCGAACGGCAGCGCGGGCUUCGGCCUGGCGGCGAGUGGCGAACGGGUGAGUAAUACAUCGGAACGUGCCCAGUAGUGGGGGAUAGCUCGGCGAAAGCCGGAUUAAUACCGCAUACGACCUGAGGGUGAAAGCGGGGGAUCUUCGGACCUCGCGCUAUUGGAGCGGCCGAUGGCAGAUUAGCUAGUUGGUGGGGUAAAGGCCUACCAAGGCGACGAUCUGUAGCUGGUCUGAGAGGACGACCAGCCACACUGGGACUGAGACACGGCCCAGACUCCUACGGGAGGCAGCAGUGGGGAAUUUUGGACAAUGGGCGAAAGCCUGAUCCAGCAAUGCCGCGUGUGUGAUGAAGGCCUUCGGGUUGUAAAGCACUUUUGGCGGGAACGAAAAGGACUGUGCCAAUACCACGGUUCGAUGACGGUACCCGCAGAAUAAGCACCGGCUAACUACGUG
This 483-nucleotide ribosomal RNA is filed under the name uncultured bacterium. RNAcentral describes it as "partial 16S ribosomal RNA". It matches the Rfam family "Bacterial small subunit ribosomal RNA", at positions 29 to 507 of the family's 1533-position model. The record is from RNAcentral.